AUUGAACGCUGGCGGCAUGCCUAACACAUGCAAGUCGAACGAGACCUUCGGUCUAGUGGCGCACGGGUGCGUAACACGUGGGAAUCUGCCCUUAGGUUCGGAAUAACAGUUGGAAACGACUGCUAAUACCGGAUGAUGACGUAAGUCCAAAGAUUUAUCGCCUAAGGAUGAGCCCGCGUCGGAUUAGCUAGUUGGUGGGGUAAAGGCCUACCAAGGCGACGAUCCGUAGCUGGUC
RNAcentral lists this ribosomal RNA (235 nucleotides) under uncultured bacterium. RNAcentral's name for it is "partial 16S ribosomal RNA". It matches the Rfam family "Bacterial small subunit ribosomal RNA", at positions 30 to 292 of the family's 1533-position model. The record is from RNAcentral.